AGAGUUUGAUCCUGGCUCAGGAUGAACGCUAGCGGCAGGCCUAACACAUGCAAGUCGAACGGUAAGGUCCUUUCGGGGAUACACGAGUGGCGAACGGGUGAGUAACGCGUAUGUAACUUUCCUCUGGCUUGAGAAUAGCUUCGAGAAAUCGAAAUUAAUACUCUAUGAAAUCUUAGUAACGCAUGUUAUUAAGAUGAAACCUCCGGCGGCUAGAGAUAGGCAUGCGUGACAUUAGCCAGAUGGUGAGGUAACGGCUCACCAUAGCUUUGAUGUCUAUGGGGUCUAAAAGGAUGGUCCCACACACUGGUACUGAGACACGGACCAGACUCCUACGGGAGGCAGCAGUGAGGAAUAUUGGUCAAUGGACGAAAGUCUGAACCAGCCAUGCCGCGUGCAGGAUGACAGCCCUAUGGGUCGUAAACUGCUUUUAUACAGGAAGAAAAUAUCCCACGUGUGGGAAACUGACGGUACUGUAUGAAUAAGCAUCGGCUAACUCCGUGCCAGCAGCCGCGGUAAUACGGAGGAUGCAAGCGUUAUCCGGAUUUAUUAGGUUUAAAGGGUGCGUAGGCGGAAAGGUAAGUCAGUGGUGAAAUCCUACAGCUCAACUGUAGAACUGCCAUUGAUACUGUCUUUCUUGAGUACAGUUGAGGUAGGCGGAAUGUGUAAUGUAGCGGUGAAAUGCUUAGAUAUUACACAGAACACCGAUUGCGUAGGCAGCUUACUAAACUGUUACUGACGCUGAGGUACGAAAGCGUGGGGAGCGAACAGGAUUAGAUACCCUGGUAGUCCACGCCGUAAACGAUGAUUACUCGUUGUGUGCAAUAUAUAGUACGCGACUGAGCGAAAGCAUUAAGUAAUCCACCUGGGGAGUACGAUCGCAAGAUUGAAACUCAAAGGAAUUGACGGGGGCCCGCACAAGCGGAGGAACAUGUGGUUUAAUUCGAUGAUACGCGAGGAACCUUACCUGGGCUCAAACGCGAGUGACCAUCCCGGAAACGGGAUUUCCCUUCGGGGCACAAAGCGAGGUGCUGCAUGGCUGUCGUCAGCUCGUGCCGUGAGGUGUCGGGUUAAGUCCCAUAACGAGCGCAACCCCUAUCAUUAGUUGCCAGCGGAUAAUGCCGGGGACUCUAAUGAGACUGCCAGUGUAAACUGCGAGGAAGGUGGGGAUGACGUCAAGUCAGCACGGCCCUUAUGUCCAGGGCUACACACGUGUUACAAUGGCUGGUACAAAGGGCAGCUACAUAGUAAUAUGAUGCUAAUCUCAAAAGCCGGUCUUAGUUCGGAUCGAAGUCUGCAACUCGACUUCGUGAAGUUGGAUUCGCUAGUAAUCGUAUAUCAGCAACGAUACGGUGAAUACGUUCCCGGGCCUUGUACACACCGCCCGUCAAGCCAUGGAAGCUGGGGGUACCUGAAGUUCGUAACCGCAAGGAUCGACCUAGGGUAAAACCAGUAACUGGGGCUAAGUCGUAACAAGGUA
This 1477-nucleotide ribosomal RNA is filed under the name metagenome. RNAcentral's name for it is "bacterial SSU rRNA". It matches the Rfam family "Bacterial small subunit ribosomal RNA". The record is from RNAcentral.